AUACGGAGGAUCCGAGCGUUAUCCGGAUUUAUUGGGUUUAAAGGGAGCGUAGGCGGACGCUUAAGUCAGUUGUGAAAGUUUGCGGCUCAACCGUAAAAUUGCAGUUGAUACUGGGUGUCUUGAGUACAGUAGAGGCAGGCGGAAUUUGUGGUGGAGCGGUGGAAUGCUUAGAUAUCACGAAGAACUCCGAUUGCGAAGGCAGCCUGCUGGACUGUAACUGACGCUGAUGCUCGAAAGUGUGGGUAUCAAACAGGAUUAGAUACCCUGGUAGUCCACACAGUAAACGAUGAAUACUCGCUGUUUGCGAUAUACAGUAAGCGGCCAAGCGAAAGCGUUAAGUAUUCCACCUGGGGAGUACGCCGGCAACGGUGAAACUCAAAUGAAUUGACGGGG
This 393-nucleotide ribosomal RNA is filed under the name uncultured bacterium. Its description in RNAcentral is "partial 16S ribosomal RNA". It matches the Rfam family "Bacterial small subunit ribosomal RNA", at positions 523 to 918 of the family's 1533-position model. The record is from RNAcentral.